Molecule: long non-coding RNA, 393 nt
Organism: Chelonus insularis
Lineage: Eukaryota; Metazoa; Arthropoda; Insecta; Hymenoptera; Braconidae
Exons: 2
Source: RefSeq, a predicted model, not a curated record
CCUGCGAUUACCGACAUGUUGACCGAAACUCCGUCCGGAUUUUUAACACAGCUGGUUUCUCUUCUCUGUCAGUAUGAUAAGUGUGAAGUCAUUGACAGAAAUUAAUAACAUUCAAGGCUAAUCAUGGUUUGUGUACCAUGUGUCUUUAUUCCAAUUGUGUUAAUUCUAUGGAGAUUUCUUAUACAACCCAUUCUAAUAAAAUUGUGGAGAUAUAGAAUAAAGAGAAAGGACACAAAAGAUGAAGCCGCACCAGAGUUAGUAAAAAAAUGCGAAAAUGGUGUCUGUUCACUGGCUUGGGAAAGGUCACAGAAAAUAUCUAAAGUUGAGUAAUAACUCAAUAACAAUAAUUAUUCAUCGAUGCAUCAACAAGAUCCUUAAAAAAAUGAAAAAAAA